This 468-nucleotide ribosomal RNA is filed under the name uncultured bacterium. Its description in RNAcentral is "partial 16S ribosomal RNA". It matches the Rfam family "Bacterial small subunit ribosomal RNA", at positions 28 to 507 of the family's 1533-position model. The record is from RNAcentral.
GACGAACGCUGGCGGCGUGCUUAACACAUGCAAGUCGAACGGAAAGGCCCUGCUUUUGUGGGGUGCUCGAGUGGCGAACGGGUGAGUAACACGUGAGUAACCUGCCCUUGACUUUGGGAUAACUUCAGGAAACUGGGGCUAAUACCGGAUAGGAGCUCCUGCUGCAUGGUGGGGGUUGGAAAGUUUCGGCGGUUGGGGAUGGACUCGCGGCUUAUCAGCUUGUUGGUGGGGUAGUGGCUUACCAAGGCUUUGACGGGUAGCCGGCCUGAGAGGGUGACCGGCCACAUUGGGACUGAGAUACGGCCCAGACUCCUACGGGAGGCAGCAGUGGGGAAUAUUGCACAAUGGGCGGAAGCCUGAUGCAGCAACGCCGCGUGCGGGAUGACGGCUUUCGGGUUGUAAACAGCUUUCGAAUGUGACGAAGCGUGCGUGACGGUAAUGGGUAAAGAAGCACCGGCUAACUACGUG